GUGCCUACGGGGCGCAGCAGUGGGGGAUAUUGCACAAUGGGGGAAACCCUGAUGCAGCGACGCCGCGUGUGGGAAGACGGUCCUCUGGAUUGUAAACCACUGUCCCCAGGGACGAAGAUGACGGUACCUGGGGAGGAAGCUCCGGCUAACUACGUGCCAGCAGCCGCGGUAAUACGUAGGGAGCAAGCGUUGUCCGGAUUUACUGGGUGUAAAGGGUGCGUAGGCGGCUUUGCAAGUCAGAAGUGAAAUCCAUGGGCUUAACCCAUGAACUGCUUUUGAAACUGCAGAGCUUGAGUGGAGUAGAG
This 305-nucleotide ribosomal RNA is filed under the name uncultured bacterium. RNAcentral describes it as "bacterial SSU rRNA". It matches the Rfam family "Bacterial small subunit ribosomal RNA", at positions 334 to 656 of the family's 1533-position model. The record is from RNAcentral.